This 506-nucleotide ribosomal RNA is filed under the name uncultured bacterium. RNAcentral's name for it is "partial 16S ribosomal RNA". It matches the Rfam family "Bacterial small subunit ribosomal RNA", at positions 28 to 523 of the family's 1533-position model. The record is from RNAcentral.
GAUGAACGCUAGCGGCAGGCCUAACACAUGCAAGUCGAGGGGUAACUAGAGUGAUAGCAAUAUUACUUUGGCUAGACCGGCGCACGGGUGCGUAACACGUAUGCAACCUACCUUAUACUGGGGAAUAACUUCGAGAAAUCGGCGCUAAUACCCCAUAACAUUGCGAAGAGGCAUCUCUUUGCAAUUAAAGCUCCGGCGGUAUAAGAUGGGCAUGCGUCCAAUUAGCUAGUUGGUGAGGUAACGGCUCACCAAGGCUACGAUUGGUAGGGGUUCUGAGAGGAUGAUCCCCCACACUGGUACUGAGACACGGACCAGACUCCUACGGGAGGCAGCAGUGAGGAAUAUUGCGCAAUGGACGAAAGUCUGACGCAGCCAUGCCGCGUGCAGAAUGACGGCUCUAUGGGUUGUAAACUGCUUUUGUACGGAAAUAAACCCUUCUACGUGUAGGAGGCUGAAGGUACCGUAAGAAUAAGCACCAGCUAACUCCGUGCCAGCCGCCGCCGUAA